AUGCCCCUUUGCUCAGAUAAAAACCUGAACUACUGCAGAUCAAACCACUCCGUACAGCUAAGUGAAGAUCACAGACCUUUCAACUGAGCAGUUUUAGGACAAACAAAGCAGUGAAGAUGAAGGUGAUGCCCUGCUUCAUGCUGUGUGUCCUGCUGGCAGCUGGAACCAGUCUGGCUGUGGAUGUGAACUGGCUGACUGAAGUUGUCAAAGCCAUCAGGGACAAGUACAAGAUAGAUGGACAGUUUUGUCUAGCUGCAAACAUCCCACUGCAGUGCGACCCCAACACACUUAAUGAAAUACUCAGAGACGACAGCUAUGAAGAAGUGAGGACAGUCAUUGGGGAAAGAAACUCUGGAGAGCGUAACGUUUAUGAAGGCAACCGAGUGGUUAUAGCCAGGUUUCGAAAACCUGAACACGCAGAAUAUCGAGUUCUACAAAAACUAAAACAAUUGAGCCAAAACAGCGAUGGAAACUUCCUGCUCCUCUACUCUUAUCUCUCCCCAUGUAGCAGGUGUACAGAAUUAAGUGAUAACAAUAACAUCCUUAAACAGAUUAACGAGUACAUUCACAGAUGGACAGACAGAGCCUUUGUGUUUACAAAAGUUUAUGACAAAUCAAAUUCUGAAACUCAGUCUGCAGUCGGUGUUAGCACACACAGAACCAUAGACAGAGAGGAGUUGAUAAAUUCACUUCACGCGCUCGCGUCUUCAAUGGGCCUCAGAAACAUAUUUCGUUGUGAUGGACCGCGUAAUUCUGAGUUAGAGUGUCACAGCUGCUAUCCAAAUGGCAUAUAUUUGGAGUUUUGUAUUAAUAACAAAGCUAGCCCUCAACAGGCAGAAAACCAUAGAUGGGAAAGGAGACAGAGUGAGAGCAGCAGAGUAGAAAGAAGAUGGGGAAACAGGAGCAGCAGUGGGAGCAGGCCCAACAGGAAAAACAUGGGUGGAGGCAGCAGCAGCAAGCGGAAGAUGUACAGGAGUCAGAGUGAGAGCAGCAGCAGCAGCAGAAACAGUAAAAAGCCAGAAGACACAAAGGUGGAGGCAGGAGCAGCAGGAAGUGAAGCAACCAUAGUAGCAAGAGAAGGAGCAGAGAAGGAAGUACAUGGGGAAGCAGGGGGAGGAGCAGCAGUAAAAACAGGUGGAGGCUCCAGGAGGAGCAGUAGCAGUAAAGGUUAG
Long non-coding RNA from Oreochromis niloticus (Nile tilapia), 1172 nucleotides. RefSeq lists it as uncharacterized. The transcript has 4 exons. The record is from RefSeq and is a predicted model, not a curated record. NCBI's taxonomy places the organism in Eukaryota, Metazoa, Chordata, Actinopteri, Cichliformes, Cichlidae.